Molecule: long non-coding RNA, 224 nt
Filed under: Carica papaya (papaya)
Lineage: Eukaryota; Viridiplantae; Streptophyta; Magnoliopsida; Brassicales; Caricaceae
Description: long non-coding RNA (CPAP_LNC010987)
Source: RNAcentral
UAUCUCCCAGAACAUCUCAGAAUUUAGGAGAUUAAACCUUCUUCAUUUUGAUGAUGAUCCUAACCCAUGGAUCAUGUAGAUCGAUAUGUUUUUCUCCAUCUUACAACUCAAAGAAGAGUAGAAGGUUCCCUUGGAAACUUUUUUGUUCACUGGAGAGGCUGAACAUUAAUGACAUCUCAAGAAGAAUGCCUUGCCGACUAUGAUUACUUGGGAACAUUUCAUGG